UGAGCGCGUUAGCGCGAAGUCGUUGAUACCACGCUUCCAAGAAAAGUCUCGUGGGGAGUCUACAGGGUGUCCGUACCGCAAACCGACACAGGUGGGUGAGGAGAAAAUCCUAAGGCGAUUGAGAGAACUCUCUCCAAGGAACUCGGCAAAUUACCACCGUAACUUCGGAAGAAGGUGGGCCCUCCGUAGGUGUAGUCGUACAGACGAAGCCGAUGAGGGUUGCAGAGAAAUGGCGGUAGCGACUGUUUACCAAAAACACAGGACUCUGCGAAGACGACAAGUCGACGUAUAGGGUCUGACUCCUGCCCGGUGCUGGAAGGUUAAGGGGAUUCGUCAGCCGCAAGGCGAAGCGAUGAUCCGAAGCCCCAGUAAACGGCGGCCGUAAGUAUAACGGUCCUAAGGUAGCGAAAUUCCUUGUCGGGUAAGUUCCGACCUGCACGAAUGGAGUAACGACUUCCGCGCUUCUCGGAGAGGGACUCAGCGAAAUUGAAAUAGCUGUGCCGAUGCAGUUUACCCGCAGCAAGACGGAAAGACCCCGUGAACCUUUGCUACAACUUGACAGUGACACUAGGGAUUGACUGUGUAGGAUAGGUGGGAGCCUUUGAAACCGGGCCGCUAGGUUCGGUGGAGGCAACGGUGAAAUACCACCCUGUUGAUUUCUGGUGUCUAACCGUGUCCCAUAAUCUGGGAUCGGGACACUGUCUGGUGGGUAGUUUGACUGGGGCGGUCGCCUCCCAAAGCGUAACGGAGGCGCGCGAUGGUUCCCUCAGCCCGAUUGGAAACCGGGCGGCGAGUGCAAUGGCAUAAGGGAGCUUAACUGCGAGACAGACAUGUCGAGCAGGUGCGAAAGCAGGUCAUAGUGAUCCGGUGGUUCUGAAUGGAAGGGCCAUCGCUCAACGGAUAAAAGGUACUCCGGGGAUAACAGGCUUAUCUCCUCCAAGAGUUCACAUCGACGAGGAGGUUUGGCACCUCGAUGUCGGCUCAUCGCAUCCUGGGGCUGGAGCAGGUCCCAAGGGUUUGGCUGUUCGCCAAUUAAAGCGGUACGCGAGCUGGGUUCAAAACGUCGUGAGACAGUUUGGUCCCUAUCUGCUGUGGGCGUAGGAUACUUGAGAGGAUCUGUCCUUAGUACGAGAGGACCGGGAUGGAGACACCUCUGGUGUACCUGUUGUCACGCCAGUGGCAUCGCUGGGUAGCCAUGUGUCGAUUGGAUAACCGCUGAAAGCAUCUAAGCGGGAAACCGACCUCAAGAAUAGGUAUCCCGGGGGAAACCCCCUGAAGACCCGUCGAAGACUACGACGUUGAUAGGCCGGGUGUGUAAGCGUGGCAACACGUUGAGCUAACCGGUACUAAUUGGUCGUGCGGCUUACUUU
RNAcentral lists this ribosomal RNA (1370 nucleotides) under metagenome. Its description in RNAcentral is "bacterial LSU rRNA". It matches the Rfam family "Bacterial large subunit ribosomal RNA", at positions 1568 to 2925 of the family's 2925-position model. The record is from RNAcentral.